AUGCUUAACACAUGCAAGUCGAACGGAAACGAAAGUAGCUUGCUACUAGACGUCGAGCGGCGGACGGGUGAGUAAUGCUUAGGAAUCUACCGAGUAGUGGGGGAUAGCCAUUGGAAACGAUGAUUAAUACCGCAUAUAUCCUACGGGGGAAAGCAGGGGACCUUCGGGCCUUGCGCUAUUUGAUGAGCCUGAGUGAGAUUAGCUAGUUGGUAGGGUAAAGGCCUACCAAGGCGACGAUCUCUAGCUGGUCUGAGAGGAUGAUCAGCCACACUGGGACUGAGACACGGCCCAGACUCCUACGGGAGGCAGCAGUGGGGAAUAUUGCACAAUGGGCGAAAGCCUGAUGCAGCCAUGCCGCGUGUGUGAAGAAGGCCUUAGGGUUGUAAAGCACUUUCAGCGAGGAGGAAAGGUUAGUAGUUAAUAACUGCUAGCUGUGACGUUACUCGCAGAAGAAGCACCGGCUAAUUUAGUGCCAGCAGCCGCGGUAAUACUAAAGGUGCAAGCGUUAAUCGGAAUUACUGGGCGUAAAGCGCGCGUAGGUGGUUUGUUAAGUUGGAUGUGAAAGCCCAGGGCUCAACCUUGGAACUGCAUACAAAACUGACUCACUAGAGUACGAGAGAGGAUAGUGGAAUUUCCUGUGUAGCGGUGAAAUGCGUAGAGAUCGGAAGGAACACCAGUGG
RNAcentral lists this ribosomal RNA (680 nucleotides) under uncultured bacterium. Its description in RNAcentral is "bacterial SSU rRNA". It matches the Rfam family "Bacterial small subunit ribosomal RNA", at positions 44 to 715 of the family's 1533-position model. The record is from RNAcentral.